UGAUGCUUAGGGAGUAUUAAAUUGAAGGCCAAAAACCAUCCCCUGAACAUUGACCUUAGAGCAGUGAUGAUGGUGAGCACUUUCUGUACAGCUGUGACAAUUCGGGCCAAAAAAAAAAAAAUUUCCAAUUGGAAAAAAAACAAACGUGGAGGACUGCUGACCAGUUAUAAUUAUCCUUCCUCUGUUUAGGCAACAGCAACCAGCCCAACUUGUUGCAGGCAACAAAGCCUAUCCCUGCUCCCAGCCUCUGGCCUCUGUGCGAGUGGCAGCCCCAGGGGAAGGGCAGCAGGCUUUGGGCAAUGCUGCCCCUUCUACACAGCUGAAUUUGCCUGGGGGAGCAAGGCAGGUGGUGGUGAGAAGUGGGUGGUGCUGUGUGGACCCCCUGCACACACAUUUCGGGUGGGUUCAGGGCCUGGUUCAGCACGGAGGGAGGGCAGGAGCCCUGCUUGAGGAGCAGGAGCUCAGAGCCAGCUCCUGAUUCAGGCUCUGAGUGGGCUCGUUUCACAGCUCUCCCAGUGAAUCUUUGAAAUUGGAUAAGAGCAAAGCCACAGUCGGAGAAGCUUCUUGCAUUUCUCAGCGCGGAGCCACUGCUGUUUCAUUAUGAUCUAGUGUUUCAUCGACCAAACCUCGGCUUGGGAACGAGCACAGAGACGUGGUAAAAUACGAUCUGUGAAAAGCUGAUACGUUGAAGAACAAAAAGCUAGAACCACGAAUUAAAAGAGUUGGGUGGUCUUAUAAUUAAAGAACCUCUUUUUUUUCCCCCUUUAAACUUAUUACGGCUGUGAACCUGAAACUAGCAGAUAUCCUCAAGAGGCAAGAGGAAAAAGCAGCGAGCAUGGGGCCGCCUGCCCCGGGCAUGGUGAGGCAAUGCUGAAGCCUUCAUCUGUGGCUGACGUGCUCUGGAGGCUACCAAGCACAGCUGGGACUUGCCAUUGCUGAGGGGAGACUUUGGCCACCUCCCAGGUGACGCUGUGGAUUGAUUCGGCUGAAAGGUUUGAAACCAGCAAGGAGCCUCACUAUAAUUUCGCGAUAUUGUUCAGCUUUUUUUUUUUUUUAAAGUAAGCAGGCGAAGAGGUUCAGAAAGCGGCACAACCAGCUAACCAGAAACAAAAAUAGCUGAGGAAAUAACAAAAUAGAUGGAUGCCGGGCCUCUAUGACCAUGUUGAGGCAAAAUAACAGUAAAACAAAAAAAAAAAAAAAAAAAAGAAGAAGAAGAAGAAGAAAAAAAAGCGGUGGAGUCUGAAGCAAUGUGUACAGGAAUUCUGUUGUUGUUUCUUGCUCCUACGCACAUGCCAUUCGCGUGAGGUGCUGUGUGUGCUCCGCUCGUGUGGCUGCCAACGUCACCGUCUGGCACCGCGCAGGUCUUCCUGUCCCGUGUCCUGGCUUGAGCUGCAUCCCCCAGCACGAGGAGCUGGGGCAUGGAAGGAGCCUGGGAGGUGAGGUAUUUUCCAGCCGCCGCAGCGAGCCCUCUAGGAAACAUGUACCUAAGAGGGAUUUUAUGAAGCACAGACAACUUGUGCAAAACAUUCUGGAGGCUGAGGAUUUCAACUUUGUAUGAGAUUCGUGGUAUUUUACUGACUUCAGUUGCUGCAAUGAGACGAGCCGGCUGUAUUACAGCCAGUGGUUCUGCUUCCUCCUUGGAAAGGGCCUGUGGUAAAUGGCAGUGCGUGCGAGACACCACUCACACUACGGUUGUGCGUGAAGCCUCCUCUGGAUGAUCUGAUAGCUUCAUAGCACCCGGCAGCCUAAUCUGGCUUCGAAACACAGAGUUUCUCCCUCUUCUGACUCCACGAAGACAAGUAACGUUUGGAAAGCUUUCCCAACAAACCGAGAUAAGGUUCGCUGCCUCUGAAAGUAUGCAUUGUUAGUAGCCGCAUGGAUAUUUACAAACCUACCGUCAAAAAUAAACAUGCCGUGGAACCGGACUGGAAGCCAAGAAAAACUGAUCUGACAUCCAGCAACACGGGCUGCAGCGCUGGGCUUCACGAGCUGUGUGUGGGAAGCCUCCCAAGUUUAGAUGCUCCUCCAGGCCCUGCAAGCAGAGAGGUGCUCCAUGGUUGGUUAUCUUUCAGUUUGGUUGACUGGUCUCUCAUGAAAUUUGGCUUGGUUUGGUCUUGUUCACUCUUCUCAGCUGUUUUAGCUCUCCUGGAGGGACGCGGAUGAAAUUGCAGCCUCGUGGUGGAGACACGUGCCUGGUCGAUGGGUUGGGACCCUUCAUCUCUCCUUAAGCGCGGGUUUUAAGUUGUCAUGCAAAGUGAAAUGUUGUCAGCGGGUGAAACUGAGCUGUGCCUUCCUUCCUCCCUUUGCGUGUCAUCUCACACGCUUCAGGACACAAGGUGGGGGGUCGGGCUCCUUUGCAUAGAGAACGGGAAAAUAUCGGAUCUCCCGUGGUAAAUAGGAAGCCUUUAUCUCUCAGCACUGAAUAAAUAAUCCUGCAGAAAUACCGAAAACGAUCAAAGAACAAGUGAAUCUUUUAGCUUUCCUUAUAUUUGCUUUUCCCACUUUUAUUUUUCUUACCAUCAGUUUGUGUUUAUUAGGUCCUGCAAACUUCUGAUUUAUUUUUCAAGGAUACCCGAUGAAUAUUUGAUGCCAAACACCCGAUCACUUAGGCCUGUGAUCCAAAACUGGUGUCACAAGCAGUGCUCAGGGCUGCCCUGUGUCUUAUGCAGCCCUGUAAAAGAACAAAUCUGACAGGUAGGUGAGAGGCUUUGAGCCGAUCUGGAGGUGAUACGAUAUGAUAUGAUGCGAUAUGGUGCUACCAAAAUGCUUGGUGUGGAUUCUUUUACUGAAAAAAUAAUAAAGAAUUUGCAAUGGUUGCUCACAUUAAAGAGAAGGCCCAGUACUAUCACAAAGCAGACAGAAGUGUGGACAGCUAAUGGUGGUAGACUCCUUGCUACUAAAACAAAAGGUAGGCAGAGGUUCCUGGGACUUGCUCCUCACAGUUUUUGUUCCUGGCAAAGGGCUCAUCAAGGACAGGACACAUCGAAGGACUGAGAACUUUUUUUAGUUGUGGCAACAAGAGCACCGGUGACACGUAAACACAAGCCCCAGAUAAGCUGGAAAGGUUAUCUUUCAUUCAAAAGGCAUCCUUGCCAUAAACCAAGUUGGACACAGCUUGUACACUUCCCAAAGGGAGGAAAUCUUCCUCUCGUGUGCCCAGGAACAGCAACGUCCAUUUGCUGUGUACCCGUUUUUGCCUGCCUCUAAGCGAACACUGCGCUGGUCUCUCUUGGGGAUGGCAUACCUCUGGGCACAGCAACAGCACCCAUGGACAUGCACGGCUCUGUGCUAAAUGUACUUCACGCCAGAAACAUCGAGGAAUCUCUUAAGCACUCACGGGGACACCUCAGGAGCCAGAGGCUUUCAGGAGAGCUCAAACCAUGCUUCGGCAUCUAAAAAAGGGACAGAGUUUCAGCAUCCCAUGCCUGUAGCCAGAGAGGUGACUUCUGUGAGCAGGCAGAAUACUUCAGAAAACCCAGCAUCUAUUUUCAGUGCUGAAAACAUGUGAGAGGCUCUGGAAAUCCUUCUAGGGCUGAGGCUUGGUGUCCCUCUGAAUGUCUGAUCUCUCGGUUUUUGUCAGUCUCUCUCUGCAGUGAGUAAAUCAUGCGGCCACCGGGGUUUUCGGAUGGGUAUUUUCUGCAGUUUAUCUGCACACGAACAUCUUGCCGUGCUCUUCGAGUGGCCACGUGCCUCGAUAGAGCAGCUGCCUCUUCUGCUUCAUUAGAAGAAACAAAGAGGGGAAACGGUGCUGCAAUGCGGGCUGGAAAAUGCCAAGGGCAAACGGUACGAUGCUGGCAUGGCCACUGAGAACUUGGUGUGCUGGAGGUAUGGACCUAAAACUGCCAUUAUCGAAGGAGAAGGGGCAGGGUACAGUAGAUUAUAGUGGGGAAAAAAAGUCCUGGGUAAUACAGGCUGUGGGAAAUGUUGAGUCUGGAUGCCUGAAAGGGUCUUCAUGGGAGCAGCCAGCAUCCAGCCAGCUGCGGGGCCGGGUUUGGGUCAACACGGCCUUACUCCUUUGGGUCCUCCCAAACGCAUCUGGAGCCCACCCCACACCUGCACCAACUGAGGGAAAUGACACAGCAGCCGCUGCCGAGAGGGUGCUGCCGUGCUUCCUCUCGAGCCGCAGAGAGGUUUUAACUGCUGUGCCUCGCUUCCUGCCCCCUGCGAUACUGCUUUCUCCGUGCUGCCCUGCAUUCGCCCUGGGGACAAGGGCAAGGAGGAAGGAGAGCCCAGAUGCUCGGGUUCAAAAGCUCCCAGAAACAAAAGGUCCCCCCCUUCCUCUUCCUCAGGGGCUGCUGGCUGCAGCUGGCUGCCCCUUCGCCUUGGCUUUGCCCUGCCAAAGGAUGCAGUGAAAGGAGUUCCCCGAGCGAAGCACCGGGGUUUCACCGCGCUCCUGAAUCACGCCGCUUUCUCUCGGUGACGUGCCGGCGGUGCCUGCCAGAAAGCCCUGCCAGCCACCACCUUCCGCUCUAAAGGUUACUCGGCGGCGUCAAGGGAUUCCCUCAAACGGCUGCAAAAAGUCUCUCUGAGCAAAUUACGAAGCUUUAAUAUUUUUUAUAUAUUUUUUUUUCCUUUCUGAAGGAGAGGAUUUGUGUUACCAUAGCCGUUGAGCCCCUGUCCUUCUCCAGCUGAGCCUGCGGCUCUGCCCGGCCUCCCAAAAUGAUUUAACCACGUCACCAGAUUUUCCCAAGGAAAGCCGAGGUGCAGCUACAGGUGACCCUGAAGACAAUCCUCUCUGUGACCACAGUCUCUUUUUUAAUCACACAACCGUGACUCAGUCGCUUGCAGGAGGUCUUUCCAGGCGCCUGGGCACGGUGCGGAUGGGGCGGGUGUACCUCGUCCCGCUGUGAGCGCCUGCAGAUAGCUCUGUUUGCUCUGGGCUCCCUUUAUCGUCAGCGGGGAAUAGCAGGCGUUCCCGUGCCGUGAGUCAUCCCCUCUCUUUUAGACGUUGUCUACCCAAGGAUGAGGCCAACUGUGUCCUAGAAAUGCCUGCUUCUCCCCAUUUUCCAUACACAGCUGACUCAGGUGUAAAUGUUUCAGGCCUUUGUUUCCUAGUUGUUCUCAAACACAGAUGUUUUCAAAGGAAAAAGGAAUUUCCUCCUCCUCUCCCCUCUUCUUUUAUGAUCCUCAUCCACGGUUGUUUUGGGACUGCAGAUGAAUUCUGUCCUGUGAUACAUCAGGGACUAGCCCUCUCUGCUCCCUCCUCCCAGCUGUGAUUUAAGAACCCAAAUCUGGAAGACUGGUUGCAUGGCAUCCUUUGAAGGAGUGGGUGACCGAGUCUUGAUGCAAUAGCUGUGCUUCAGCUAGGAAAAAAUGUUGCUUGCCUACAAGAAUUUCCUCUCUUUGAUGUGUUGAAUGCGUAUUUACAUUCUGCCACGGAUCAGGGAGCUGUAGGCACCGUACAAAAAUAAGUCGCAGAUGCCAUUGUUCUCCAGUUGGUCUGCUCCUUCCUAGCCACCUCUCUGGAGCAGAUAGCUGGAUUCUUGUUUGGGGGCCUGGGGAGUUUCAAGACAGGGCUUCUGUCUGGUAUUUCCCCAUUAUCGUGGCCCUGAUUUGGUGACAUAUCUGCAUGCCUGGCUCCAGCCAGAGGGGGCCACUCAUGAACAUGGGAUUGGGCAUGGGCUUGGGCCCUCGGCUGUAUCAGGACCUUCCUAAAGAAUAAGACACCAUGCGGUUCCUCUCUUUCCUGCUGCUUACUUAUUGCUGGUGUUUCUACUCCCUAUAGGUGCUGGGAAAGACAUGUUCUUGCUUUCAGUCAGAAAUGAUAUCACCACCUGCCCUUAGCAAUGUUAUUCUCUUGCCUCCCGAGCUUAGGCAAUACUGCAACAUGCCUAAACAGCGCAUCCACAACAAGUAAUGGCAUCAUCUUGCUUUCAAAACAAACCUGUGGUGGGUGGAAUUAGCCAUGCUGAAUGAUGUUGGCCUGAUUGAUAACGAUCAGUGAAGAAACUGCUUCAGCUAUUCAGUCAUUCACCUCUGGUCACCCUCAUUUUGGAGAGGGUGGGAACUAGUUGUACUCUGUGUCUUCAUACCACCAAGAGGAAGAACUGCUGAUGUUUUUUAGUCAAGUACCCAUUUAGAUGGGUCAUUGGUAAAGAACGGGGGAAAAAGAGGGGCAUUUUCACAUCACCUGUUGUGGUUGUCCCUAAUCUGUCUCCUCGGCUUAUUUCUGCCUUCUGCCCCUAAUGCAAAUCUGGCUGCUCCCUUGAACAGCACAAACCACAAAACACCUGCCUGCAGCCUGUCCUGUGCACAUAUAGACGUGGUAUUUCCUUCCUGAGCUAAAAGGAUAUCUGAGUAAAGGGAAGAGCACUCCGUUUGUGGUAAACAGUUUGGCGGAGUUUUUGCCUGUUAUGUGCAUCCAGUUUCUCAGAAAUGUGUGAGAAUGAGUUCAAAGAACAUCCAGAUGGCUCUGUCGUCUCCAAGUCUGCUCUUCCACCUUUCCAGAGGACAGCUGCCUGGAGAGCAGUGUAACUUGGUGCUGCAUUCUCCAUCCAACACGAAGCAGAAGAGAUGGGACUAUCUCUGUCCUUCACUUCUCCAUAAGCAAAAUUUCUAUAGGUGGGGCAAAACAAAAAGUCUAUGUUUUAGGAUGCCUAAUGUCUCCCAUUACAUAAAACCUUGUGUUAAGAUGGCUAGACAUUUGCCAGACUGCAACUGUUUGAAAUCAAGUUUUUCAUUGCAGGUGUCUUCAUCAGCUGGAAGGGACGUCCACUGAAAUGUUUUCUAGAAAAAGGGUGUCAAGCCUGCACAGAGCACACAGAAAAGCACUUACUGCCUUGAGUGUGCACUGCUCUCGAACACAGAAUGGAAACCAAGCUGGAGAGUCCUACAGUUGUUCUGCUGCCAACAAAGCCUCCUGAAAUGUGCUAAUUGCAUGUCUGCCUAUGUAUGGUUUGGUAACAGGGAUGCCCAAACUACAUGUAUAUGUAAAUUACAAGUAAGUGUAUCUAAGAGUUUAUCUUGAAGUGCA
Long non-coding RNA from Anas platyrhynchos (mallard), 6973 nucleotides. RefSeq lists it as uncharacterized. NCBI's taxonomy places the organism in Eukaryota, Metazoa, Chordata, Aves, Anseriformes, Anatidae. The record is from RefSeq and is a predicted model, not a curated record.